GGCAACCUGGCCGAGCGGUUAAGGCGCUACGUUCAGGAUCAUCUUGAGUAUCGUAGUCUCGAAAGGGGCGUGUGUUCGAAUCACACGGUUGUCA
Molecule: non-coding RNA, 94 nt
Organism: Gnomoniopsis sp. IMI 355080
Lineage: Eukaryota; Fungi; Ascomycota; Sordariomycetes; Diaporthales; Gnomoniaceae
Source: the annotation of a GenBank genome assembly